GCCAGGCAUGGUGGUGCGUGCCUGUAGUCCCAGUUACUUGAGAGGCUGAGGCAGGAGGAUCGCUUGAGCCCAGGAGAUUGAGGCUGGGGUAAGCUGUGUUCACAUCACUGUACUCCAGCCUGGGCAACAGAGCAAGACCCUGUCUCAA
This is a non-coding RNA of Gorilla gorilla gorilla (western lowland gorilla), 148 nucleotides long. It matches the Rfam family "Metazoan signal recognition particle RNA". Rfam says of the family: The signal recognition particle (SRP) is a universally conserved ribonucleoprotein. It is involved in the co-translational targeting of proteins to membranes. The record is from Rfam. Lineage: Eukaryota; Metazoa; Chordata; Mammalia; Primates; Hominidae.